CCUACGGGAGGCAGCAGUGAGGAAUAUUGGUCAAUGGCCGAAAGUCUGAACCAGCAAAGCCGCGUGAAUGACGAAGGUGCCAAGCAUUGUAAGCUUCUUUUGUCAAGGGACAAAAUCAGGCUCGAGAGCCUGACCAAGGGUACUUGAAGAAAAAGCAUCGACUAACUCCGUGCCAUAAGCCGCGGUAAUACGGAGGAGGCGAGCGUUAUCCGGAUUUAUUGGGUUUAAAGGGAGCGUAGAUGGGUUGUUAAGUCAGUUGUGAAAGUUUGCGGCUCAACCGUAAAAUUGCAAUUGAUACUGGCAGCCUUGAGUACAGUUGAGGUAGGCGGAAUUCGUGGUGUAGCGGUGAAAUGCUUAGAUAUCACGAAGAACUCCGAUUGUGAAGGCAGCUUACUAAACUGCCACUGACACUGAUGCUCGAAAGUGUGGGUAGCAAACAGGAUUAGAUACCCGAGUAGUC
This 460-nucleotide ribosomal RNA is filed under the name uncultured bacterium. RNAcentral's name for it is "partial 16S ribosomal RNA". It matches the Rfam family "Bacterial small subunit ribosomal RNA", at positions 338 to 795 of the family's 1533-position model. The record is from RNAcentral.